GAUGAAGAACGUAGCGAAAUGCGAUAAGUAAUGUGAAUUGCAGAAUUCAGUGAAUCAUCGAAUCUUUGAACGCACAUUGCGCACGCCAGUAUUCUGGCGGGCAUGCCUGUUCGAGCGUCAUUUCAACCAUCAAGCCCCCGGGCUUGUGUUGGGGACCUGCGGCUGCCCGCAGGCCCUGAAAACCAGUGGCGGGCUCGCUGUCACACCGAGCGUAGUAGCAUAUCAUCUCGCUCUGGGCGUGCUGCGGGUUCCGGCCGUUAAAGCCUUUUUUUUUUACCCAAGGUUGACCUCGGAUCAGGUAGGAAGACCCGCUGAACUUAAGCAUAUCAAUAAGCGGAGGA
This 341-nucleotide unclassified non-coding RNA is filed under the name soil metagenome. RNAcentral describes it as "partial contains 5.8S ribosomal RNA, internal transcribed spacer 2, and large subunit ribosomal RNA". The stretch from base 1 to 120 matches the Rfam family "5.8S ribosomal RNA", at positions 35 to 154 of the family's 154-position model. The record is from RNAcentral.